Molecule: ribosomal RNA, 334 nt
Filed under: uncultured Pseudomonas sp.
Lineage: Bacteria; Pseudomonadati; Pseudomonadota; Gammaproteobacteria; Pseudomonadales; Pseudomonadaceae
Description: bacterial SSU rRNA
Rfam family: Bacterial small subunit ribosomal RNA
Source: RNAcentral
CUGUCGUCAGCUCGUGUCGUGAGAUGUUGGGUUAAGUCCCGUAACGAGCGCAACCCUUGUCCUUAGUUACCAGCACGUUAUGGUGGGCACUCUAAGGAGACUGCCGGUGACAAACCGGAGGAAGGUGGGGAUGACGUCAAGUCAUCAUGGCCCUUACGGCCUGGGCUACACACGUGCUACAAUGGUCGGUACAAAGGGUUGCCAAGCCGCGAGGUGGAGCUAAUUCCAUAAAACCGAUCGUAGUCCGGAUCGCAGUCUGCAACUCGACUGCGUGAAGUCGGAAUCGCUAGUAAUCGUGAAUCAGAAUGUCACGGUGAAUACGUUCCCGGGCCUU